UAGGUGAACCUGCGGAAGGAUCAUUAACGAACUCUCGAAGGACGCGCUCGCUGCUGGGCUUCUCAGAAGUCAACGUGCACACGCUCUUUCCUCUCGUUCAACCAAUCUACCCCUAUCUGUGCACCCCUCGUAGGCUGAGAUCUCUUAGCUUAUGUUCUUUCCACAAAACCAUCCUUUUAAAUAUAUCAGCGAAUGGCAGCCGUUCGAGCCUCGUCUCGACGCAGCAAAAUAUAACACAACUUUCAACAACGGAUCUCUUGGCUCUCGCAUCGAUGAAGAACGCAGCGAAAUGCGAUAAGUAAUGUGAAUUGCAGAAUUCAGUGAAUCAUCGAAUCUUUGAACGCACCUUGCGCCCCUUGGUACUCCGAGAGGCAUGCCUGUUUGAGUGUCAUUGAACCAUCAAACCCGAGUGGCUUUCGAGCUUUAUCGGAGUUUUGGAGCUUGCGGGUUGUGCGGAAGGAAGGGCUCUUUCGGGGGGCCCCCCCUUUCCGCUCCUCGCGGAAUACAUCAGCAGAUGUCCCACUUGCGGGUCCAGCCUUGGCGUGAUAACUGUCUUACGUCCUGGCCUGGGUCGCGUGUCCCUUGGCUUCUGCUUCGAACAGUCGCAUGUUCUCGCGACAGAUGGAUUUGACAAAUUUGACCUCAAAUCA
This 650-nucleotide ribosomal RNA is filed under the name Cora sp. Moncada 8041. RNAcentral describes it as "eukaryotic LSU rRNA". The stretch from base 238 to 391 matches the Rfam family "5.8S ribosomal RNA". Lineage: Eukaryota; Fungi; Basidiomycota; Agaricomycetes; Agaricales; Hygrophoraceae. The record is from RNAcentral.